RNAcentral lists this ribosomal RNA (159 nucleotides) under Hylodesmum podocarpum subsp. oxyphyllum. Its description in RNAcentral is "5.8S ribosomal RNA". It matches the Rfam family "5.8S ribosomal RNA". From Rfam's summary of the family: 5.8S ribosomal RNA (5.8S rRNA) is a component of the large subunit of the eukaryotic ribosome. RNAcentral also lists the same sequence under 1 other name. Lineage: Eukaryota; Viridiplantae; Streptophyta; Magnoliopsida; Fabales; Fabaceae. The record is from RNAcentral.
GACUCUCGGCAAUGGAUAUCUCGGCUCUUGCAUCGAUGAAGAACGUAGCGAAAUGCGAUACUUGGUGUGAAUUGCAGAAUCCCGUGAACCAUCGAGUCUUUGAACGCAAGUUGCGCCCGAAGCCAUUAGGUUGAGGGCACGCCUGCCUGGGCGUCACAC